CGGGGCUUAAAGUCUUGUAAUUGGAAUGAUGGGAAUUUAAACCUCUUCCAGAGUAUCAAUUGGAGGGCAAGUCUGGUGCCAGCAGCCGCGGUAAUUCCAGCUCCAAUAGCGUAUAUUAAAUUUGUUGCAGUUAAAAAGCUCGUAGUUGAAUUUCUGCUGCAUUGCUUGUGUCCCUCUGGGGUCUGUGCAUGUGGCUUUUUUCGGACGGAGUUUCUUUGUCUGAAUGUUUACUUUGAGAAAAUUAGAGUGCUCAAAGCAGGCUUUCGCCUUGAAUAGUUUAGCAUGGAAUAAUAAAGUAGGACUUUGGUUCUAUUUUGUUGGUUUUAGGUACCAAAGUAAUGGUUAAUAGGAACAGUUGGGGGCAUUCGUAUUUAACUGUCAGAGGUGAAAUUCUUAGAUUUGUUAAAGACGAACUACUGCGAAAGCAUUUGCCAAGGAUGUUUUCAUUAAUCAAGAAC
Molecule: ribosomal RNA, 458 nt
Filed under: Theileria annulata
Lineage: Eukaryota; Apicomplexa; Aconoidasida; Piroplasmida; Theileriidae
Description: SSU rRNA
Rfam family: Eukaryotic small subunit ribosomal RNA
Source: RNAcentral